CAGUCGCCGCGGGAAUACGUAGGGUGCAAGCGUUGUCCGGAAUUAUUGGGCGUAAAGAGCUCGUAGGCGGUUUGUCGCGUCUGCUGUGAAAUCCCGAGGCUCAACCUCGGGCUUGCAGUGGGUACGGGCAGACUAGAGUGCGGUAGGGGAGAUUGGAAUUCCUGGUGUAGCGGUGGAAUGCGCAGAUAUCAGGAGGAACACCGAUGGCGAAGGCAGAUCUCUGGGCCGUAACUGACGCUGAGGAGCGAAAGCGUGGGGAGCAAACAGGAUUAGAUACCCCCGUAGUCCCUGUCUCUUAUAC
RNAcentral lists this ribosomal RNA (301 nucleotides) under uncultured bacterium. RNAcentral's name for it is "partial 16S ribosomal RNA". It matches the Rfam family "Bacterial small subunit ribosomal RNA", at positions 509 to 807 of the family's 1533-position model. The record is from RNAcentral.